RNAcentral lists this ribosomal RNA (302 nucleotides) under Microbacterium saccharophilum. Its description in RNAcentral is "bacterial SSU rRNA". It matches the Rfam family "Bacterial small subunit ribosomal RNA", at positions 1131 to 1430 of the family's 1533-position model. The record is from RNAcentral. Lineage: Bacteria; Bacillati; Actinomycetota; Actinomycetes; Micrococcales; Microbacteriaceae.
GUGGGAACUCAUGGGAUACUGCCGGGGUCAACUCGGAGGAAGGUGGGGAUGACGUCAAAUCAUCAUGCCCCUUAUGUCUUGGGCUUCACGCAUGCUACAAUGGCCGGUACAAAGGGCUGCAAUACCGUAAGGUGGAGCGAAUCCCAAAAAGCCGGUCCCAGUUCGGAUUGAGGUCUGCAACUCGACCUCAUGAAGUCGGAGUCGCUAGUAAUCGCAGAUCAGCAAGGGCUGCGGUGAAUACGUUCCCGGGUCUUGUACACUCCUCCCUUCAAAUCAUGAAAGUCGGUAACACCUGAAGCCGG